This 189-nucleotide ribosomal RNA is filed under the name uncultured bacterium. RNAcentral describes it as "partial 16S ribosomal RNA". It matches the Rfam family "Bacterial small subunit ribosomal RNA", at positions 138 to 334 of the family's 1533-position model. The record is from RNAcentral.
AGGGGAUAGCCCAGGGAAACUUGGAUUAAUACCCCAUGGUAUCGCAAGAUUAAAAGGUGGCCGCAAGGCUGUCGCUGAAGGAUUGGUUCGCGCCCUAUCAGCUUGUUGGCGGGUAACGGCCCACCAAGGCUACGACGGGUACCUGGUUUGAGAGGCGAUCAGGCACACUGGAACUGAGACACGGUCCAG